Empidonax traillii (willow flycatcher) is the source of this 100-nucleotide long non-coding RNA. RefSeq lists it as uncharacterized. The transcript has 3 exons. The record is from RefSeq and is a predicted model, not a curated record. NCBI's taxonomy places the organism in Eukaryota, Metazoa, Chordata, Aves, Passeriformes, Tyrannidae.
AAUGCUCUGGGGCUGGAUGGGAUCCACCCAAGGGUGCUGAAGGAGCUGGAGGAAGUGCUCACUGAGCCACUUCCCAUCAUUUAUCAGCAGUCCUGGCUAA